RNAcentral lists this ribosomal RNA (524 nucleotides) under Escherichia coli. RNAcentral's name for it is "partial 23S ribosomal RNA". It matches the Rfam family "Bacterial large subunit ribosomal RNA", at positions 1 to 564 of the family's 2925-position model. The record is from RNAcentral. RNAcentral also lists the same sequence under 1 other name. Lineage: Bacteria; Pseudomonadati; Pseudomonadota; Gammaproteobacteria; Enterobacterales; Enterobacteriaceae.
GGUUAAGCGACUAAGCGUACACGGUGGAUGCCCUGGCAGUCAGAGGCGAUGAAGGACGUGCUAAUCUGCGAUAAGCGUCGGUGAGGUGAUAUGAACCGUUAUAACCGGCGAUUUCCGAAUGGGGAAACCCAGUGUGUUUCGACACACUAUCAUUAACUGAAUCCAUAGGUUAAUGAGGCGAACCGGGGGAACUGAAACAUCUAAGUACCCCGAGGAAAAGAAAUCAACCGAGAUUCCCCCAGUAGCGGCGAGCGAACGGGGAGGAGCCCAGAGCCUGAAUCAGUGUGUGUGUUAGUGGAAGCGUCUGGAAAGGCGCGCGAUACAGGGUGACAGCCCCGUACACAAAAAUGCACAUAUUGUGAGCUCGAUGAGUAGGGCGGGACACGUGGUAUCCUGUCUGAAUAUGGGGGGACCAUCCUCCAAGGCUAAAUACUCCUGACUGACCGAUAGUGAACCAGUACCGUGAGGGAAAGGCGAAAAGAACCCCGGCGAGGGGAGUGAAAAAGAACCUGAAACCGUGUACG